Molecule: long non-coding RNA, 1423 nt
Filed under: Anas platyrhynchos platyrhynchos (common mallard)
Lineage: Eukaryota; Metazoa; Chordata; Aves; Anseriformes; Anatidae
Description: lncRNA (ENSAPLG00000022465.1)
Source: RNAcentral
GCUGUGGUCAGAAGCAGCGUGGGCUGCUGGCAUGGCUCGCUGGUGUCAGCGAUUCUGUUUGCAGACCUGAGUGCAUGAGUGCACGCACUGCUGUGCCCUGCUGCUGGGAAGAAGGGGGACAGAGGCCAGGACCCCUGCAUUUGGGAACAGGUCUGGCAACUCUGUGUUACUGGAUAACCACAAUUGUUUUUCCCUCUGUGUUUUGUCAAAAGCCUGAGUCAUUGUCUGGCUUCCCAGGAUAGCCUGAGUAUGCUGACAAACUGAGUGCUUUGUGGUGUUUUGAGAAGUGAGUUUUGGCAUGGAGAGCAGCAGCCUGCCCCAGCCAGGCUACAGUUCUCCAUUCAUGGCACCUCCUUAAGCACAGAAUGGGCCUCCCUCCGUCUUAAAAACUGAGGCAACUGUAGAUUCAGGGCUCAGUACUGGGCUGGAGCUGAGACAGGAUUAUGAAGAGACUUUUAUGCCUCAUUUUAGAUUUAUCCUCUUAACUGUGCUGAUAAAUGUAUUCAGUGCAUCUGGGAACACUUGGUAGCAAGAGACAGAGAAACUUGACACUAAAACAAACCCAGGACAACCAGAGCAGACUGUGACUAUGUACUGCUCAGGGGAGCUGAGACUCAUUGUCCCUCUGCUUCUCAAAGCAGACAAGGAACAACGUGAACAAGAGUGCAUAUCCAAGAACUGCAUUGUGCAAUGUGUCCAGUGGCCACAGAAGUGUGCAGGCUUCUUUAGGCUCUAUCAACACAGAAGGUUCAGGUUGCGUGGAGGUGUGUUGAGACCCAGCAGUGGCUGCUGUGUGAGGCCGAGAUGCUGCUGACGCCUGUGGGAAGUUAUUGACCACCUUUACCCAGCACAACCCUGCAUGCGUCAUCCUGACCCACUGCCUGCAUGGUGUCCCCAUGAGCCCUUCCUGAGAGCCAGAAGGGAUGGCCAAGGACAUGUUUUGGCCUGGGAAAACCUCCCGGGGUUGGAGCUGCCCCUUCUGAGUGGCCACCUCCAGCUCACUACAAUGAUGUCCACCUCUCUUAUCAUUAAUUGCUCUUCCUGACAUAAAAUAACUACAGAAUCUGGAAUUUUGGCUAAGGGUUAGGGUUAAAAAAAUAGAAAAAAAAUAUAAAAAAAGAAGAGGAAUAGUAAUUUAAAUGCAUGAGGUGCGUCUGGUUCUCUGCAGGCAUCCUGCAAGAUUAAUUUUCUUUUCCUCCUUACCUCCUACCUGAGGCACCCAUUGUCUACAGUGCAUGAUUCACUUGGGAAUGUAAUUUAUUUUUUUUUUUGAAACUGUCCUUCUUUGGUAUUUCUGUGUUUUUUUAUUUUGUUUCUUUUUUGUUUUCCUUUCCUUGGAACAUCCCAGUUGCAGGAAAUAUUAAUCACUUCCGAGUUUGUUCUGAUUUGGUCCAAAACUGAAAAUAAAAAUAAAAAGGCAAAU